AACUAGCCCCGAUGGGAACGGCAUCCUUUUUUGACGCGAGCGAAGCGAGCGCCAAAAAAGAUAUAGUGGACAGCGGGAUUAGCU
This 84-nucleotide small RNA is filed under the name Halpernia frigidisoli. RNAcentral's name for it is "Flavo-1 RNA". It matches the Rfam family "Flavo-1 RNA". The record is from Rfam by way of RNAcentral. Lineage: Bacteria; Pseudomonadati; Bacteroidota; Flavobacteriia; Flavobacteriales; Weeksellaceae.